RNAcentral lists this ribosomal RNA (346 nucleotides) under uncultured soil bacterium. Its description in RNAcentral is "bacterial SSU rRNA". It matches the Rfam family "Bacterial small subunit ribosomal RNA", at positions 26 to 366 of the family's 1533-position model. The record is from RNAcentral.
AGGACGAACGCUGGCGGCGUGCUUAACGCAUGCAAGUCGAGCGGUAAGGCCUUUCGGGGUACACGAGCGGCGAACGGGUGAGUAACACGUGGGUGAUCUGCCCUGCACUUCGGGAUAAGCCUGGGAAACUGGGUCUAAUACCGGAUAUGACCUCAGGUUGCAUGACUUGGGGGUGGAAAGAUUUAUCGGUGCAGGAGUCGGGCCCGCGGCCUAUCAGUCUUGGUUGGGUGGGUAAUGGCCUACCAAGGCGACGGACGGGUAGCCGACCUGAGAGGGUGACCGGCCACACGUGGGACUGGAGACACGGCCCAGACCUCCGUACGGGAGGCAGCAGGUGGGAAUAUUG